AGAGACAGCAGCCGCCGCGGUAAGACAGAGGAUGCAAGCGUUAUCCGGAAUGAUUGGGCUUAAAGCGCACGUAGGCGGCGACAUAAGUUAGAGGUGAAAUCCCAUCGGCUCAACCGUGGAACUGCCUCUAAUACUGUGUUGCUUGAGGGAGAACGGGGCAUUCGGAACUUCCGGUGGAGCGGUGAAAUGUGUUGAUAUCGGAAGGAACGCCGGUGGCGAAAGCGGAAUGCUGGGUCUCUUCUGACGCUGAGGUGCGAAAGCUAGGGUAGCGAACGGGAUUAGAGACCCCAGUAGUCCCUGUCUCUUAUA
RNAcentral lists this ribosomal RNA (309 nucleotides) under uncultured bacterium. RNAcentral's name for it is "partial 16S ribosomal RNA". It matches the Rfam family "Bacterial small subunit ribosomal RNA", at positions 504 to 808 of the family's 1533-position model. The record is from RNAcentral.